Molecule: long non-coding RNA, 220 nt
Organism: Ctenocephalides felis (cat flea)
Lineage: Eukaryota; Metazoa; Arthropoda; Insecta; Siphonaptera; Pulicidae
Exons: 3
Source: RefSeq, a predicted model, not a curated record
ACGUAUUAAAAGUACCAAGUGGUGAUUGCAAGAUUCUAUUAGGGCAUGGAAGUAAAGUUAAUUGCGCUUCACUGAUGGCUGAUGGAACUCGUAUAGCGGCUGGAUAUGAUGACGGCCUUGUUAAAAUUGGGAUAUUAAAAAUACAUCAGUGCAAAAACAAAUAAAUACUGAUUCGCAAAUUAUUACUAUUGAUACCCAUUUUGAAAAUAAUGUAAUAAUG